This 307-nucleotide ribosomal RNA is filed under the name uncultured bacterium T2703a. RNAcentral's name for it is "bacterial SSU rRNA". It matches the Rfam family "Bacterial small subunit ribosomal RNA", at positions 28 to 338 of the family's 1533-position model. The record is from RNAcentral.
GACGAACGCUGGCGGCGUGCUUAACACAUGCAAGUCGAACGAUGAUACUGAGCUUGCUUAGCGGAUUAGUGGCGAACGGGGUGAGUAACACGUGAGUAACCUGCCCUUGACUCUGGGAUAAGCGUUGGAAACGACGUCUAAUACCGGAUAUGACCUCUUACCGCAUGGUGUGGGGGUGGAAAGAUUUUUUGGUCAAGGAUGGACUCGCGGCCUAUCAGGUUGUUGGUGAGGUAAUGGCUCACCAAGCCUACGACGGGUAGCCGGCCUGAGAGGUGACCGCCACACUGGACUGAGACACGCCAGACUC